RNAcentral lists this transfer RNA (75 nucleotides) under Azospira sp. RNAcentral describes it as "tRNA-Val". It matches the Rfam family "tRNA". Rfam says of the family: Transfer RNA (tRNA) molecules are approximately 80 nucleotides in length. Their secondary structure includes four short double-helical elements and three loops (D, anti-codon, and T loops). Lineage: Bacteria; Pseudomonadati; Pseudomonadota; Betaproteobacteria; Rhodocyclales; Rhodocyclaceae. The record is from RNAcentral. RNAcentral also lists the same sequence under 5 other names.
GCGCGGCUAGCUCAGUGGUAGAGCAUCGCCUUCACACGGCGGGGGUCGGGGGUUCGAAACCCUCGCCGCGCACCA